GAUGAAGAACGUAGCGAAAUGCGAUAAGUAGUGUGAAUUGCAGAAUUCAGUGAAUCAUCGAAUCUUUGAACGCACAUUGCGCCCCUUGGUAUUCCAUGGGGCAUGCCUGUUCGAGCGUCAUUACAACCCUCAGGCCCCCGGGCCUGGCGUUGGGGAUCGGCGGAGCCCCCCGUGGGCACACGCCGUCCCCCAAAUACAGUGGCGGUCCCGCCGCAGCUUCCAUCGCGUAGUAGCUAACACCUCGCGACUGGAGAGCGGCGCGGCCACGCCGUAAAACACCCAACUCUUCUGAAGUUGACCUCGAAUCAGGUAGGAAUACCCGCUGAACUUAAGCAUAUCAAUAAGCGGAGGA
RNAcentral lists this unclassified non-coding RNA (352 nucleotides) under soil metagenome. Its description in RNAcentral is "partial contains 5.8S ribosomal RNA, internal transcribed spacer 2, and large subunit ribosomal RNA". The stretch from base 1 to 120 matches the Rfam family "5.8S ribosomal RNA", at positions 35 to 154 of the family's 154-position model. The record is from RNAcentral.